RNAcentral lists this transfer RNA (66 nucleotides) under Danio rerio (zebrafish). It matches the Rfam family "tRNA". Rfam says of the family: Transfer RNA (tRNA) molecules are approximately 80 nucleotides in length. Their secondary structure includes four short double-helical elements and three loops (D, anti-codon, and T loops). Further hydrogen bonds mediate the characteristic L-shaped molecular structure. tRNAs have two regions of fundamental functional importance: the anti-codon, which is responsible for specific mRNA codon recognition, and the 3' end, to which the tRNAs corresponding amino acid is attached (by aminoacyl-tRNA synthetases). tRNAs cope with the degeneracy of the genetic code in two manners: having more than one tRNA (with a specific anti-codon) for a particular amino acid; and 'wobble' base-pairing, i.e. permitting non-standard base-pairing at the 3rd anti-codon position. Lineage: Eukaryota; Metazoa; Chordata; Actinopteri; Cypriniformes; Danionidae. The record is from Rfam by way of RNAcentral.
GGUUCCAUGUUGUAAUGGUUAGCAGUCUGGAUUCUGAAUCCAGUGAUUGAAGUUUCAGUGGAACCU